CCUUUUCUCCUCCUCCUCCUCCUCUUCCUCCUCCCUUCCCAACAGGAGAAAUCUGUGCCUUAGAACUGCUGAAUGCUGGCUAGUGAAGGCUAAGAGGAGCAGUCCAGGAAGGAAGAGGGGCUCCCCAUGGUAGAAACAAAGAGAACAUGGCCCGACACCAAAGGGAAAGCUUUUUAAGCAACCCAAGAUGGAGGAAUGGGGUCCACAGUAAGGUAUUGACCUCCCCCACUGUGAGCCGGAGCACAGAAGUUAUUUCUUCUCUUGAAGGGAUGAUGCUUAAAUAAAUCGACAGACCCUCCACCCCUCAUGCUGAGCAAAGAUGUGCCCAUUGGCUGAAGGGCAGAAGCUUGCCUGCCCUCUGACUGUGAAUCACCAAGGCAUCCUCCUGCUUAGCAGACUCAAGUCUCUCUGAGGAAGUUAGCAGCUGCUGAGUCUUCUUUCUGUUUCAAACAUUGAAAGAAAGGAAACCAAUAGACUCACUUAAGGCUGGGCAGGGGACUCAUGGGAAUGGAUUCAGCUCUCUGAACUCUGGGGAUCUGUCCUCUCCCCACCUGAAGGACUUGCUGGGUAGCCAGGGCUUUGCCAUCCAUGUAUAAAGUAUUAUCUUAUCCAUGUUAGGGGAGGGAGAAGAAGGAAAAGUGGGGGGAAGGAGUUCAAAGUCUAGAAUUAAGAAGUAUGGGGAGGUAAUAAAGCUGAGGAAUUAGCAAUGCCA
RNAcentral lists this long non-coding RNA (712 nucleotides) under Vombatus ursinus (common wombat). RNAcentral's name for it is "lncRNA (ENSVURG00010012596.1)". Lineage: Eukaryota; Metazoa; Chordata; Mammalia; Diprotodontia; Vombatidae. The record is from RNAcentral.